RNAcentral lists this ribosomal RNA (259 nucleotides) under uncultured bacterium. Its description in RNAcentral is "partial 16S ribosomal RNA". It matches the Rfam family "Bacterial small subunit ribosomal RNA", at positions 1234 to 1500 of the family's 1533-position model. The record is from RNAcentral.
CAGGUACAGAGGGAUGCUACCGGGCGACCGGAUGCGGAUCUCGAAAGCCUGUCCCAGUUCGGACUGGAGUCUGCAACCCGACUCCACGAAGUUGGAUUCGCUAGUAAUCGCGCAUCAGCCAUGGCGCGGUGAAUACGUUCCCGGGCCUUGUACACACCGCCCGUCAAGCCAUGGGAGCCGGGGGGCGCCUGAAGUCCGGGACCGCGAGGACCGGCCUAGGGCGAAACUGGUAACUGGGGCUAAGUCGUAACAAGGUAGC